This is a long non-coding RNA of Mercenaria mercenaria, 2005 nucleotides long. RefSeq lists it as uncharacterized. The record is from RefSeq and is a predicted model, not a curated record. The transcript has 3 exons. NCBI's taxonomy places the organism in Eukaryota, Metazoa, Mollusca, Bivalvia, Venerida, Veneridae.
GAAAACAAUCUGUCCACAUACAGUAAUCAUAGGAUAUGUCCAAAAAUAUUUUUGGGGAGACAUGUACUUUUUUUAAAAGUUGCGAAUGCAAUUUUGUAAACAAAGAUGAGAAAGAUACGCUUUCGGGUGAGAAGUUCAAGUGGAUGUAAAUUUCACACAAUAACAAUAUUUGAGUUUUAAUUGUUAUGACAAGUUAACAGAUUGUUAUGUAUAAAUACUUUCCUGUAUCAUUAAAUGGUCAUCAAGUGUAUAAGUUACUUCUUAACUACUUCACAAAGACAAUAUAAACACGUAAGUCAGUGCAAAUAUAAUUGCGUCCAUCAUCACUGCACCGGUGUGACGUAAAAUGCAAUUUAUCGCACACUAUCGUACCAAACGGAAGUUAUUUCAGUUUCCUGUUUACAGAAACAGACAAAAAGGAUGUGUUUGUUUGAUUUUGUUAGUGUGCAGCUGGCUCCAACUGCACUGUUUAACGCACUUAAUUCAUCGCACACAUUAAAGAAUUACUGUGACUAAAGUCAUUUCCAACUUUAAGCAUUAUGAAUUCGGUCACAUAUGGCGAUGUUUCAACUGUAUCGGUGAAGGAAGACCUACUCAGAGCUGGGAAUAUGUGAUGGAUUUUAGGCUGCUAAUUUUAUCUGUAACCAGGACAUCAGAAAUCUUUAUUCCCAACUUAAAGCCAGGAAAUAUAUUUGGAAAACCAAUACCAAACAAUUGCUUCCUAGGACAUCCUAAAAACGCUGAAACAAACGUCAUAACAUCAUCUGGUGGAUUUAAGUGGCCAACUACACAGAAAGGUUUUGACUGCAUCUGAAAAAAUGGCAACUCUUAAAAUUACGAAGAAGCAGAAACUAAACGUCAAAAAAGCUGUUGAACAUAACUUGGCUGAAAUAAAGAAAUCUCAAGAAACCUCAAAACAGACCAAAGUUGAACUUAGUGCUGAUAAAAACCUCUUUUUAUCUAUGUCUACAUUUAACCAUCAACAUUAUAUACAUAUUCGUAAAUGAGAGGACGGGAAACCAACAAAAGAAGGAAUAUCCUUAACAGAACAGAUGUGGUGGGAAAUACAGAAAUGCAUUUCUGAAUUAGAUAACAAGAUCCAGCAAUUACAGCAAGGAAAUUAAGAUGUGGACUAUAAAUUACAUCUUGGGAAAAACUGGUAUAUCUGUGUUCAAAGCGGAUAUCCAUUCGUAAAUAUUAGACGGUACUGGAACCCCCCAGGUACUAUAAACAUCCAUCCUACGAAACAGGGACAAAUUUUGUCUUUUGAAAUGUAUAACAAAAUGAAAGACUCAUUUACCGAUAUUAACAAAUGUAUACCCAAUUUUGACCAGUUUCAACCUUGCUAUAUGCAGAGUGAUCAUGCCAAUUUACUUGGCGCUUUAUCUUGUUCAGUGUGUAACCCAACAGGGUAUAAAGAUCACGACAGUUUAUUAGCAUGAUUUGUUUGUGUCUGCUUUUCAUUACUGUUCAGACUUAUUAGCGAGCAAUUUCUUUUCAAAUAAAAUGUAUCAGAAAUGAGAUUGUUUUAUUGUAUAUAAAUGAAAUGUUUACCCAUAUUUUGUUCAUUUAUCAGUAUGAAUGAUACCAGUCAAUAUUUAGAAAGUAUAUAGUAUGAUAUUAAAAAUCCAGUUUCUUAUUCUGGACCUUUAACAUUAUACCGUUAUGUUAAAAAAGAAGGAAAAUACAUCAUUAGUCUAAGGAAAAUUAAACAGUGGUUAAAUGACCAAGACAGUUAUAGUGUCAGAAAGAGGGUUUUGAGAAAAAUUAAAAGAGGUCGCGUUGUAGUAAACGGUAUCGAUUCUUUAUGGGACAUAGAUCUUGCCUCUUGUGAAUCUAUAACUAAAUAUAAUUCUGGUGUACGUUUUUUGAUGGUGACUGUAGAUGUAUUCUCAAGAUACAUGUGGGUUGCACCCUUAUACGAUAAAACUAAUAAAGAAACUGUUAGAGGCUUUGAUAAAGUUUUGAGUUCUACAAAUAGACGUCCAGUGACCCUAAGAAGCGA